UUUGCCUGAACCUGGUCAGACUGCUUUUUUUUUUCUUUUAGACGGAGUCUCACUCUGUUGCCCAGGCUGGAGUGCAAAUGGCACCAUCUAGGUUCACUGCAACCUCUGCCUCCCUGGUUCAAGUGAUUCUUCUGUCCCAGCCUCCCAAGUAGCUGGGAUUACAGAUGCCUGCCACCAUGCCCAGGCAAAGGCGUAACAUUUCUGCUUUAAAGUUAGUAAUAUGGGGAAUGUGGAUUCUGCCUUGUCCAGAAUGAUGGCGAUGGAAGAACAAGGUGCUUCUGGAUGGAAUUCCACAACGACCUGGUAGCCACGUUUGGAAAGCACACAUUUUCCAUGGAGGUGACUCCCUGAGCUACACUUUGGCAUGAUGAAUGGAUCUCCAAUGCUCCAGCAGCCUCAUCCGCAACGGCAAAUAUUCAGUGCAUCCUUACAGCUCUUUGCAGAACCUGCCAACAUGUUGACGAAAUAUGUGGUUUAUAAUAAACUCAUUAGCCUUUUUAUCUAAAAUUGAGGCUGGGCACGUUGGUUCACACCUGUCAUCCCAGAACUUUUGGAGGCUGAGGUGAGAGAAUCUCUUGAGCCCAAGAGUUCAAGACUGCAGUGAGCUAAGAUCACGCCAUUGUACUCCAUCCUGGUGACAGAGGGAGGCCCUGUUUCUACAAUACAUUUAAAAUAAAUAAGAAAAAUAAAAUAGAUAAUAUUUUUGUUUUGCAAUUUGGG
This 720-nucleotide long non-coding RNA is filed under the name Homo sapiens (human). RNAcentral's name for it is "HSALNT0161381". The record is from RNAcentral. Lineage: Eukaryota; Metazoa; Chordata; Mammalia; Primates; Hominidae.